RNAcentral lists this ribosomal RNA (504 nucleotides) under uncultured bacterium. RNAcentral describes it as "bacterial SSU rRNA". It matches the Rfam family "Bacterial small subunit ribosomal RNA", at positions 10 to 507 of the family's 1533-position model. The record is from RNAcentral.
AGUUGAUCAUGGCUCAAGAACGAACGCUGGCGGCGCGCCUAAUACAUGCAAGUCGAGCGAGAAGGUGUAGCAAUACACUUGUAAAGCGGCAAACGGGGUGAGGAAUGCAUGGGUAACCUACCCUCGAGUGGGGAAUAACUAGCCGAAAGGUUAGCUAAUACCGCAUACGUUUCCGGAACUUCGGUUUCGGAAAGAAAGCAAUACCGUGGGUAUUGCGCUCCUGGAUGGGCUCAUGUCCUAUCAGCUUGUUGGUGAGGUAACGGCUCACCAAGGCUUCGACGGGUAGCUGGUCUGAGAGGACGAUCAGCCACACUGGCACUGCGACACGGGCCAGACUCCUACGGGAGGCAGCAGUAAGGAAUAUUGCGCAAUGGACGAAAGUCUGACGCAGCGACGCCGCGUGGGGGAUGAAGGUCUUCGGAUUGUAAACCCCUUUCGGGAGGGAAGAUGGAGUGGGUAACCACUUGGACGGUACCUCCAGAAGCAGCCACGGCUAACUUCGUG